Molecule: ribosomal RNA, 403 nt
Filed under: uncultured bacterium
Lineage: Bacteria
Description: partial 16S ribosomal RNA
Rfam family: Bacterial small subunit ribosomal RNA
Source: RNAcentral
AUUGAACGCUGGCGGCAGGCCUAACACAUGCAAGUCGAGCGAGUGGCGGACGGGUGAGUAAUGUAUGGGGACUGCCCGAUAGAGGGGGAUAACUACUGGAAACGGUGGCUAAUACCGCAUACUAUCGGAUAACCCAUAUGGGAUUAGCUAGUAGGUGGGGUAAAGGCUCACCAAGGCGACGAUCCCUAGCUGGUCUGAGCGGACGAACAGCCACACUGGGACUGAGACACGGCCCAGACUCCUACGGAGGCAGCGGUGGGGAAUAUUGCACAAUGGGGGCAAGCCUGAUGCAGACAUGCCGCGUGUAUGAAGAAGGCCUUAGGGUUGUAAAGUACUUUCAGCGGGGAGGCGUUACCUGCAGAAGAAGCACCGGCUAACUCCGUGCCAGCAGCCGCGGUAAUUC